This 507-nucleotide ribosomal RNA is filed under the name uncultured bacterium. Its description in RNAcentral is "bacterial SSU rRNA". It matches the Rfam family "Bacterial small subunit ribosomal RNA", at positions 8 to 526 of the family's 1533-position model. The record is from RNAcentral.
AGAGUUUGAUCAUGGCUCAGGAUGAACGCUGGCGGCGUGCUUAACACAUGCAAGUCGAACGGACUCGUAUUGAAACCUAGUGAUUUACGGGUUAGUGGCGGACGGGUGAGUAACGCGUGGAUAACCUGCCGUAUACUGGGGGAUAACACUUAGAAAUAGGUGCUAAUACCGCAUAAGCGCACAGCUCCGCAUGGAGCAGUGUGAAAAACUCCGGUGGUAUACGAUGGAUCCGCGUCUGAUUAGCUUGUUGGCGGGGUAACAGCCCACCAAGGCAGCGAUCAGUAGCCGGCCUGAGAGGGUGGACGGCCACAUUGGGACUGAGACACGACCCAAACUCCUACGGGAGGCAGCAGUGGGGAAUAUUGCACAAUGGGGGGAACCCUGAUGCAGCGACGCCGCGUGAGUGAAGAAGUAUUUCGGUAUGUAAAGCUCUAUCAGCAGGGAAGAAAAUGACGGUACCUGACUAAGAAGCCCCGGCUAACUACGUGCCAGCCGCCGCGGUAAUAC